GAUGAAGAACGCAGCGAAAUGCGAUAAGUAAUGUGGAUUGCAGAAUUCAGUGAAUCAUCGAAUCUUUGAACGCACAUUGCGCCCAUUAGUAUUCUAGUGGGCAUGCCUGUUCGAGCGUCAUUAAGUCCACUUAAGCCCUGCUUAGUGUUGGGAGACUGCUCCAGCGGUGCUACCCUGUAGCUACCCUGCAGCUCCUCAAAGACAGCGGCGGAGUUGUGGUAUCCUCUGAGCUUAGUAACUUGUUCUAGCUUUCGAGUACACCACUUCCCCUGCCGUAAAACCCUUAAUUUUUAAUGGUUGACCUCGGAUCAGGUAGGAAUACCCGCUGAACUUAAGCAUAUCAAUAAGCGGAGGA
Molecule: unclassified non-coding RNA, 355 nt
Filed under: soil metagenome
Description: partial contains 5.8S ribosomal RNA, internal transcribed spacer 2, and large subunit ribosomal RNA
Rfam family: 5.8S ribosomal RNA (bases 1-120)
Source: RNAcentral